AGAGGUGUGGCUCAAGUGGUGCAGUGCCUGUCUGGUAAACACAAGACCCUGAGUUCAACCCCCAGUACCACUC
This 73-nucleotide transfer RNA is filed under the name Dipodomys ordii (Ord's kangaroo rat). It matches the Rfam family "tRNA". From Rfam's summary of the family: Transfer RNA (tRNA) molecules are approximately 80 nucleotides in length. Lineage: Eukaryota; Metazoa; Chordata; Mammalia; Rodentia; Heteromyidae. The record is from Rfam by way of RNAcentral.